Molecule: long non-coding RNA, 1087 nt
Organism: Pelmatolapia mariae (spotted tilapia)
Lineage: Eukaryota; Metazoa; Chordata; Actinopteri; Cichliformes; Cichlidae
Exons: 6
Source: RefSeq, a predicted model, not a curated record
GUCUGCUCUCGAGUGAAAUAGAAGCUUGGUUUUGCCUUUGCUGAGUGAAACAGAACUUCGGUUUUGCCUUUGCUGGAUACUGAUCUGAUCGUCUCAAGUCUGAGUGAACAGAUCUUUGGUUUUGCCUUUGCUGGUGACCUGCUGCAGAAGAUCCUCUCUCUCUAUCAUUAUAAGCAAUUCUGUCUAUCCUAUCACUCUCCCGACUCUAUCUAAUUUGAGCAAUUCUAUCUUGUAUCCCUCUAUCCUCUACUGCUCUAUCUAAUUUGACAGCCAUUCCAUCUUGUAUCCCUCUAUCCUCUACUGCUCUAUCUAAUUUGAGAAUCCAAGUUUUCAGAAAUCAAAGUUUUCAGAAUCCAAGUUUUCAGAAAUCCAAGUACCAGUACUUGAUCUAUCUGUUUCAGAAUUCUGAGAGAUCUCUGCUCUCACUGCUCCUUCUUUCCUGUCAUUAAGCUCUCUCACAUUCAGUCAUUUUGCUGGAAAUUACAAGUUGAAUAUACAGUAGUAGAAUUACAGUACAGUAGAACUUAUAGUAGAACCUACUUACACAGCCCUACAUUAGUCAUUUUAAUUUUGCAUUAGACUUUGGAAUUAACACUGCUAGUUUGGCUUACUUUGAUACAUUGUAUAAAAUAUCACCUUUUUAUAAGUUUAUUUGUAAUAAGAUAAUCUGGUUCUUUUGUAAUACAUACAUUCAGAUAAAUAAUAAAUUAGAUCCAAAUACAUUUUGCUAGUCUCUUUCAUUGGCUAUAACAUUUGACUGCAAGUUUAUAGUAUUAUUAUUUAAGGACAAACCCAUUUUGUCACUCAGUGUAAGUAUUCAGUUAGUAUUGUCAUCGAGAAGUGCCUGAGAUCCCAGACUUCCUGUUUCCUGACUGCUGCAGAACAUCCAGCUGAAGAAUCAUCACCUGUCAUCUUAUCACCACACCACCAAAGCUCCAUCUAUUUGAUUUAAAUUUUAGAUAUCUGAAAGAUUUACAUAAACUCGCAUAAGAGCUAAGACUUUUAUUAUAGCCUGUUGAUUGAGAUUUAUUCUGCAUAUCAUCUUACAGAAGUUGUACUUAUUUAUCAGUCUGGUUAAAAAAAAUAU